CAAUAGCGUAUAUUAAAGUUGUUGCGGUUAAAACGCUCGUAGUUGGAUCUGCGGUUGUGGAGGACGGUCCCCCGAAAGGGUGGUCACUGUCUCUCCUAGCCUAAAUUCGAGUCGUCUCUAGGUGCUCUUUACCGAGUGCCUACGAGUGACUAGAACGUUUACUUUGAAAAAAUUAGAGUGCUUAAAGCAGGCGAAAUAGCCUGAAUAAAAUGCAUGGAAUAAUGGAAUAGGACCUCGGUUCUAUUUUGUUGGUUUUCGGAGCCCGAGGUAAUGAUUAAGAGGAACGGACGGGGGCAUUCGUAUUCCGGCGCUAGAGGUGAAAUUCUUGGACCGCCGGAAGACGGACGACUG
RNAcentral lists this ribosomal RNA (351 nucleotides) under Nematoda environmental sample. RNAcentral's name for it is "SSU rRNA". It matches the Rfam family "Eukaryotic small subunit ribosomal RNA", at positions 592 to 945 of the family's 1831-position model. The record is from RNAcentral. Lineage: Eukaryota; Metazoa; Nematoda.